GAUGAACGCUGGCGGCGUGCCUAAUACAUGCAAGUCGAGCGAACAGACGAGGAGCUUGCUCCUCUGACGUUAGCGGCGGACGGGUGAGUAACACGUGGAUAACCUACCUAUAAGACUGGGAUAACUUCGGGAAGCCGGAGCUAAUACCGGAUAACAUGUUGAACCGCAUGGUUCAACAGUGAAAGACGGUCUUGCUGUCACUUAUAGAUGGAUCCGCGCCGCAUUAGCUAGUUGGUAAGGUAACGGCUUACCAAGGCAACGAUGCGUAGCCGACCUGGGAGGGUGAUCGGCCACACUGGAACUGAGACACGGUCCAGACUCCUACGGGAGGCAGCAGUAGGGAAUCUUCCGCAAUGGGCGAAAGCCUGACGGAGCAACGCCGCGUGAGUGAAGAAGGUCUUCGGAUCGUAAAACUCUGUUAUUAGGGAAGAACAAAUGUGUAAGUAACUAUGCACGUCUUGACGGUACCUAAUCAGAAAGCCACGGCUAACUACGUGCCAGCCGCCGCAGUAA
RNAcentral lists this ribosomal RNA (513 nucleotides) under uncultured bacterium. RNAcentral describes it as "partial 16S ribosomal RNA". It matches the Rfam family "Bacterial small subunit ribosomal RNA", at positions 28 to 523 of the family's 1533-position model. The record is from RNAcentral.